AUGCCUUACACAUGCAAGUCGAACGGCAGCAUGAUCUAGCUUGCUAGAUUGAUGGCGAGUGGCGAACGGGUGAGUAAUACAUCGGAACGUGCCCUGUAGUGGGGGAUAACUAGUCGAAAGAUUAGCUAAUACCGCAUACGACCUGAGGGUGAAAGUGGGGGACCGCAAGGCCUCAUGCUAUAGGAGCGGCCGAUGUCUGAUUAGCUAGUUGGUGAGGUAAAGGCUCACCAAGGCGACGAUCAGUAGCUGGUCUGAGAGGACGAUCAGCCACACUGGGACUGAGACACGGCCCAG
Molecule: ribosomal RNA, 294 nt
Filed under: Ralstonia pickettii
Lineage: Bacteria; Pseudomonadati; Pseudomonadota; Betaproteobacteria; Burkholderiales; Burkholderiaceae
Description: partial 16S subunit of ribosomal RNA
Rfam family: Bacterial small subunit ribosomal RNA
Source: RNAcentral